CACUUGGAUGAGGCGCACUAUUUUGUGAAUACUGCCAAAAUAAUGACCUUAUCCAAGGAG
This is a microRNA precursor of Monodelphis domestica (gray short-tailed opossum), 60 nucleotides long. Ensembl annotates it as mdo-mir-7386c. Lineage: Eukaryota; Metazoa; Chordata; Mammalia; Didelphimorphia; Didelphidae. The record is from Ensembl.